UACACUUUAGUAUAGAUGUAUAAAAGUUUUUGGUUCUUUAGGAGGUAAUUUAUUUUACCAAGUGUAA
RNAcentral lists this transfer RNA (67 nucleotides) under Trigonopterus porg. Its description in RNAcentral is "tRNA-Gln". The record is from RNAcentral. Lineage: Eukaryota; Metazoa; Arthropoda; Insecta; Coleoptera; Curculionidae.